Molecule: ribosomal RNA, 374 nt
Filed under: uncultured bacterium
Lineage: Bacteria
Description: bacterial SSU rRNA
Rfam family: Bacterial small subunit ribosomal RNA
Source: RNAcentral
AGUCAAUAGAUACCCUGGUAGUCCUAGCCCUAAAACGAUGGGUACUAGGGUAGUAGACUAGAUAUGGGGUUUACUGCCGAAAGCUAAAAAGUGCUAAGUACCCCGCCUGGGGAGUAUGGUCGCAAGGCUGAAAACUCAAAGGAAUUGACGGGGGCGUCACACAAGGCGGUGGAGCAUGUGGCUUAAUUCGAGGCUACGCGAAGAACCUUAUCCUGGACUUGACAUGUGCGAAAGCGCUAGGUAGUAGAACCCGGAAACGGGAACGAACCAGCAAUGGGAGCCUAGUACAGGUGCUGCAUGGCUGUCGUCAGCUCGUGUCGUGAGAUGUCGGGUUAAAGUCCCAUAACGAGCGAAACCCUUACCUCUAGUUGCAA